GUAGCAUUAAAGGGAGCCAGAAAACAGAGAGAAAAAGCUUUCUGCACUUCUGAGUCCCAGAGGAAGAACUGGAUAUGUCCUAUUCUCACAGAAUAUUACAGAAUUGCAACAGGCAGCUUUGAGGUGAGGAUGAAGGCUGUUCCGCAAAAGCUUGGCUGGAAGAAAAAUUGCUGAAGGGUUAGGUGAAUAUGCAGAGCAGAAACCAGGAUUUAUUGGCAGGACACAGCCUCUGCAUAUUUUAUCUUCCAACAGUCUACUGACACCGGGAAAGGCUUAGCUGAGCUAAAGUGGUGUUGGAAGCCUAUGAGAUGAAGAGCUAUCCACCAGGAGCAUCCCAGAGAGAGGAAGACUCAACUGAGGAAGGACUUCCAGCAGCAGAGGAACACUGUAACUGUUCACAGAGGAACACUUCAGCCACCCAGGGCAAGGUCUCAGCUUGUUGCCUUCCUGGUCAUCCUCACACACAGACAAUGCAGAAGAGCCACAUUUUCAAAGGUGACCAGAAAUUUCCAUCACUUGGCCAGUGACAUCCCAAAAGGAGAUUGCUUAACUUGGAGCAUGAGAGAAGCCUACAGGAGCCCAGGGCAUCACACAGGAGUUCCAUGCAAAGCCCAAGGUGUGGCUCCAUGGCUCUUUGGUCCCUGCCCCAUUGGCAGUGCAGGAGUGGGAUGAGCCGCUGAGCCACUGAACCAGACUGGCAGAAAACCACCACCCAUCACUUGCAGGUACGUUCCUUGGUGCUGGGAGGGCUGAAGGUGCACACCAUGGGCCCAGGCACACACUGGUGCUGGCCUGUGGAGCAAAUGGAAGCCAGGGGGUGGAGGGGGAAGCAGGACAGAGGCAGCCCUGGCUCAGACUGAUGGAAGUUUCACGCAGUGGAAAGCAAAAUGCGUGAGGCUGGAGCUGUAUCCCCACCUACAUAAUGGAUUGCCCUGGGCACUGCACUAAAUACAUUAAGCAAUGAUGAAUAUUCAUAUUUUAAGAUUAAAUCUACCUCCUAAUGGAACUUUUCACUGGCAACCUUUUCUUAUUGUGCCUUGGAACUCCAUGUAUCUGAACAACUGCUGUUGGGUGAAAACACCUUCCCAAGUCAAAAUAACAAUAUCAA
RNAcentral lists this long non-coding RNA (1108 nucleotides) under Cyanistes caeruleus (blue tit). RNAcentral describes it as "lncRNA (ENSCCEG00000009418.1)". The record is from RNAcentral. Lineage: Eukaryota; Metazoa; Chordata; Aves; Passeriformes; Paridae.